This is a long non-coding RNA of Fukomys damarensis (Damara mole-rat), 517 nucleotides long. RefSeq lists it as uncharacterized. The transcript has 5 exons. Lineage: Eukaryota; Metazoa; Chordata; Mammalia; Rodentia; Bathyergidae. The record is from RefSeq and is a predicted model, not a curated record.
AAUCCCUGGCCUUUCUGCAUUCAUUUGAGGGUGAGGACCUCUUUGAUACUUGGAACCAAGGAUUGAUAUAUUCAGGAAAGGACCUAGGCAAAACAGGGAUCAAGACAAUCUGCUGGGGUCUUCGAUAUUUGGGGCCAUCCUCUCAGAAACUGCCAGUACCUUAUCCGUCCUGUGAGACUCUAAUCAAUAAAUUCAACCUACAGACACACAGUGCCAGUUCCUAAGCUUCUAGUCAAUGCAGUUCUAUGUUUGAGCAUAAUACUAGAGCACCCAAGCUGGUUCUAUCUGGCUAAUACUGCACACUUGGGAUUUUGUGCAGUGGUGUUGGGAGAGAGAUUCAAGACAAAUGCAGAAGAUGGGCUUUUCUUAAGGGAAUACUAGAGAAGAUUAUCUUGAUACUGAAUAUGGUCAGAGAAGAACAGAAAAGAGUAAAAUCUGUCUCAGAAUUUGUGCCUCCAAAAAUGUAUAAUAGAUGUUGAGAAAUGGGAAGAAAAUGUUCAAAUGAGAAGGGGAACAA